UGGGGAAUAUUGGACAAUGGGCGAAAGCCUGAUCCAGCAAUGCCGCGUGAGUGAAGAAGGCCUUAGGGUUGUAAAGCUCUUUUAGUAGGGAAGAUAAUGACGGUACCUACAGAAAAAGCACCGGCUAACUUCGUGCCAGCAGCCGCGGUAAUACGAAGGGUGCUAGCGUUGUUCGGAAUUACUGGGCGUAAAGAGCGCGUAGGCGGCUUAUUAAGUUGGAAGUGAAAUCCCAAAGCUUAACUUUGGAACUGCUUUCAAAACUGGUAAGCUAGAGAGUGGUAGAGGAUGAUGGAAUUCCUAGUGUAGAGGUGAAAUUCGUAGAUAUUAGGAGGAACACCGGAGGCGAAGGCGAUCAUCUGGGCCAUUUCUGACGCUGAGGCGCGAAAGCGUGGGGAGCAAA
RNAcentral lists this ribosomal RNA (400 nucleotides) under uncultured bacterium. RNAcentral's name for it is "bacterial SSU rRNA". It matches the Rfam family "Bacterial small subunit ribosomal RNA", at positions 355 to 772 of the family's 1533-position model. The record is from RNAcentral.